GGGGUUGUAGCUCAGUAGUAGAGCACUUGCCUAGCAUGUGUGAAGCACUGGGUUCGAUCCUCAGCAACACUU
This 72-nucleotide transfer RNA is filed under the name Marmota monax (woodchuck). It matches the Rfam family "tRNA". Rfam says of the family: Transfer RNA (tRNA) molecules are approximately 80 nucleotides in length. Lineage: Eukaryota; Metazoa; Chordata; Mammalia; Rodentia; Sciuridae. The record is from Rfam by way of RNAcentral.